This 220-nucleotide long non-coding RNA is filed under the name Elaeis guineensis (African oil palm). RNAcentral's name for it is "long non-coding RNA (EGUI_LNC041102)". The record is from RNAcentral. Lineage: Eukaryota; Viridiplantae; Streptophyta; Magnoliopsida; Arecales; Arecaceae.
UGGAGGAAAUGAUGGAAGGAGAUGGAAUGGAAUUGUUUGAAGAAAGAAUGAUGAGUGGAGAAGUAAUGGAGAUGGAUUAGUAGAUGAUGAAGGAAGAAAACUUCUCAAAAAAUGAAAGAAAGUUUUCUCAGGAAGAAAGGCUCUCUUUGCAUACGAAAGAAGUCUCCCCUUAACCAAAGUAGUGAAGGGUAUUUAUAGUGAAGGUUUAAUGGAAGGGAGA